ACGCGUGAGCAAUCUACCUUAGUUACGGGGAUAGCCCGAGGAAACUCGGAUUAAUACCUGAUAUUCUUUAUAUUUCGCAUGAAAUUAAAAGGAAAGGUCAGCCGAACUAAGAUGAGCUCGCGUUCUAUCAGCUAGUUGGUGAGGUAAAAGCUCACCAAGGCUACGACGGAUAGCUGGUCUGAGAGGACGAUCAGCCACACUGGGACUGAGACACGGCCCAGACUCCUACGGGAGGCUGCAGCAGGGAAUAUUGCGCAAUGAGCGAAAGCUUGACGCAGCGACACCGCGUGUGGGAUGACGGAUCUAGGUUUGUAAACCACUUUCAGGAGGGAAGAAAAUGACGGUACCUCCACAAGAAGCCCCGGCCAACUACGCGCCGGCAGCCGCGGUAAUACGUANGGGGCGAGCGUCGUCCGGAUUUAUUGGGCGUAAAGAGCUCGUAGGCGGUUCAACAAGUCGGUCGUGAAAGUUCAGGGCUCAACCCUGAAAUGUCGAUCGAUACUGU
Molecule: ribosomal RNA, 505 nt
Filed under: uncultured bacterium
Lineage: Bacteria
Description: bacterial SSU rRNA
Rfam family: Bacterial small subunit ribosomal RNA
Source: RNAcentral